This 738-nucleotide ribosomal RNA is filed under the name Alphaproteobacteria bacterium IP-45A. RNAcentral describes it as "bacterial SSU rRNA". It matches the Rfam family "Bacterial small subunit ribosomal RNA", at positions 100 to 873 of the family's 1533-position model. The record is from RNAcentral. Lineage: Bacteria; Pseudomonadati; Pseudomonadota; Alphaproteobacteria.
AGACGGGUGAGUAACGCGUGGGAACGUACCCCCCCGGUUCGGAAUAACUCAGGGAAACUUGAGCUAAUACCGGAUACGGUCGAGAGGCGAAAGAUUUAUCGCCGGGGGAUCGGCCCGCGUCCGAUUAGCUAGUUGGUGUGGUAAUGGCGCACCAAGGCGACGAUCGGUAGCUGGUCUGAGAGGAUGAUCAGCCACAUUGGGACUGAGACACGGCCCAAACUCCUACGGGAGGCAGCAGUGGGGAAUAUUGGACAAUGGGCGCAAGCCUGAUCCAGCCAUGCCGCGUGAGUGAUGAAGGCCUUAGGGUUGUAAAGCUCUUUCACCCACGACGAUAAUGACGGUAGUGGGAGAAGAAGCCCCGGCUAACUUCGUGCCAGCAGCCGCGGUAAUACGAAGGGGGCUAGCGUUGUUCGGAAUUACUGGGCGUAAAGCGCGUGUAGGCGGGUCCUUAAGUCAGGGGUGAAAUGCCAAGGCUCAACCUUGGAACUGCCUUUGAUACUGGGGAUCUUGAGUCCGGGAGAGGUGAGUGGAACUGCGAGUGUAGAGGUGAAAUUCGUAGAUAUUCGCAAGAACACCAGUGGCGAAGGCGGCUCACUGGCCCGGAACUGACGCUGAGACGCGAAAGCGUGGGGAGCAAACAGGAUUAGAUACCCUGGUAGUCCACGCUGUAAACGAUGGAUGCUAGCCGUUGGGGAGCUUGCUCUUCAGUGGCGCAGCUAACGCCUUAAGCAUCCCGCC